This 529-nucleotide long non-coding RNA is filed under the name Serinus canaria (Common canary). Its description in RNAcentral is "lncRNA (ENSSCAG00000004588.1)". The record is from RNAcentral. Lineage: Eukaryota; Metazoa; Chordata; Aves; Passeriformes; Fringillidae.
CGGGAGCUCCCAAGCGGCCGGCCGGCUCUCCGCACCCCUCUCCUGCCAUGCCACAGCCGGCCAGCCAGCCCCAGUGUCCCGGCCCCGGGCCUCCGGGGUCCGGCGAGCAACCGCGUAGGCAACAGGAGACCCGCAGCAGCCGCCCCGGCCCCGCUGCGAGGGGGAGUGGGGUACUGACAUUUCUGCCGCCACGCCCUGGGAGAGUCCCCUAUAAAGGUCCCGGGGCGUGCGUGGGACAGUGAGACGUGGCACUGCGGGGCUGCAGCCGGGGCGCACAGGCAUCUCCCCAGCCAAUUCCCUGAACUGAUACUUUCAAAAUGAAGAGGAAGAUAAGAGUGGGAAUGAAGAAUGCCUUGGAGAAAUCCAGUCAUAAAGUUUGAGGAGAGGAAAUAUUAAUAACUCUGGUCUCUUACAUAGGUCAGAAUUUAGACUGAAAUGAUGUAAAGUUACAAACCUGAGACAUAAGGGCUAUUAAAUUUGAAUCAAGAUUCACAGAUUUUUAAAUCAAUGCAUAAUAAAAAUACUUGCU